This 1373-nucleotide ribosomal RNA is filed under the name Salmonella enterica subsp. enterica serovar Krefeld. RNAcentral's name for it is "partial 23S ribosomal RNA". It matches the Rfam family "Bacterial large subunit ribosomal RNA", at positions 568 to 1781 of the family's 2925-position model. Lineage: Bacteria; Pseudomonadati; Pseudomonadota; Gammaproteobacteria; Enterobacterales; Enterobacteriaceae. The record is from RNAcentral.
GUGGUGAACUCCACAUACGCAUCCUUUGCUGAGGAUACGGUUAACGGAGCGAAAGCGACGUUCAACCUCAAAAGAAGCAGAGGGGGCUUAGUGGUGGGGUGACUGCGUACCUUUUGUAUAAUGGGUCAGCGACUUAUAUUCUGUAGCAAGGUUAACCGAAUAGGGGAGCCGCAGGGAAACCGAGUCUUAACUGGGCGUUAAGUUGCAGGGUAUAGACCCGAAACCCGGUGAUCUAGCCAUGGGCAGGUUGAAGGUUGGGUAACACUAACUGGAGGACCGAACCGACUAAUGUUGAAAAAUUAGCGGAUGACCUGUGGCUGGGGGUGAAAGGCCAAUCAAACCGGGAGAUAGCUGGUUCUCCCCGAAAGCUAUUUAGGUAGCGCCUCGUGAAUUCAUCUUCGGGGGUAGAGCACUGUUUCGGCUAGGGGGUCAUCCCGACUUACCAACCCGAUGCAAACUGCGAAUACCGGAGAAUGUUAUCACGGGAGACACACGGCGGGUGCUAACGUCCGUCGUGAAGAGGGAAACAACCCAGACCGCCAGCUAAGGUCCCAAAGUCAUGGUUAAGUGGGAAACGAUGUGGGAAGGCCCAGACAGCCAGGAUGUUGGCUUAGAAGCAGCCAUCAUUUAAAGAAAGCGUAAUAGCUCACUGGUCGAGUCGGCCUGCGCGGAAGAUGUAACGGGGCUAAACCAUGCACCGAAGCUGCGGCAGCGAACGUAUCACUUAAAGCGAUUCAGCGGGUUACGAUUGACGGAGCGAAGCGACGUCAAAGCGUAUAGAAAGUCGAGUCGGUUUAAGGAUACGUUCGUUGGGUAGGGGAGCGUUCUGUAAGCCUGUGAAGGUGUGUCGUGAGGCAUGCUGGAGGUAUCAGAAGUGCGAAUGCUGACAUAAGUAACGAUAAUGCGGGUGAAAAACCCGCUCGCCGGAAGACCAAGGGUUCCUGUCCAACGUUAAUCGGGGCAGGGUGAGUCGACCCCUAAGGCGAGGCCGAAAGGCGUAGUCGAUGGGAAACAGGUUAAUAUUCCUGUACUCGGUGUUACUGCGAAGGGGGGACGGAGAAGGCUAUGUUGGCCGGGCGACGGUUGUCCCGGUUUAAGCGUGUAGGUGUGUGGACCAGGCAAAUCCGGUUCACUUUAACACUGAGGCGUGAUGACGAGGCACUACGGUGCUGAAGCAACAAAUGCCCUGCUUCCAGGAAAAGCCUCUAAGCAUCAGGUAACAUCAAAUCGUACCCCAAACCGACACAGGUGGUCAGGUAGAGAAUACCAAGGCGCUUGAGAGAACUCGGGUGAAGGAACUAGGCAAAAUGGUGCCGUAACUUCGGGAGAAGGCACGCUGAUGGUAGGUGAAGUGAUUUACUCAUGGAGCUGAA